This 450-nucleotide ribosomal RNA is filed under the name uncultured bacterium. Its description in RNAcentral is "partial 16S ribosomal RNA". It matches the Rfam family "Bacterial small subunit ribosomal RNA", at positions 354 to 796 of the family's 1533-position model. The record is from RNAcentral.
GCUAAGAAUAUUCCGCAAUGGACGGAAGUCUGACGGAGCGACGCCGCGUGGAUGACGAAGGCCGAAAGGUUGUAAAGUUCUUUUGCUGGGGAAGAAUAACCGCAGGAGGGAAUGCCUGUGGGAUGACAAGAACCGGCGAAUAAGCCCCGGCCAACUACGUGCCAGCAGCCGCGGUAACACGUAGGGGGCGAGCGUUGUUCGGAAUUACUGGGCGUAAAGGGCAUGUAGGCGGCUUGGAAAGCCUGGCGUGAAAGUCUGCAGCGUAACUGCAGGGGUGCGCUGGGAACUGAGGAGCUUGAGUGACGGAGAGGGAGCUGGAAUUCCUGGUGUAGGGGUGAAAUCUGUAGAUAUCAGGAAGAACACCGAUGGCGAAGGCAAGCUCCUGGCCGAUGACUGACGCUGAGGUGCGAAAGUGUGGGGAUCAAACAGGAUUAGAUACCCGAGUAGUCC